This 253-nucleotide ribosomal RNA is filed under the name uncultured bacterium. Its description in RNAcentral is "partial 16S ribosomal RNA". It matches the Rfam family "Bacterial small subunit ribosomal RNA", at positions 524 to 776 of the family's 1533-position model. The record is from RNAcentral.
UACGUAGGGUGCAAGCGUUAAUCGGAAUUACUGGGCGUAAAGCGUGCGCAGGCGGUGAUGUAAGACAGGUGUGAAAUCCCCGGGCUUAACCUGGGAACUGCAUUUGUGACUGCAUCGCUGGAGUGCGGCAGAGGGGGAUGGAAUUCCGCGUGUAGCAGUGAAAUGCGUAGAUAUGUGGAGGAAUACCGAUGGCGAAGGCAGCCCCCUGGGAUAACACUGACGCUCAUGCACGAAAGCGUGGGGAGCAAACAGG